CUCUCUUGGUGGCGAGUGGCGGACGGGUGAGUAAUAUAUCGGAACGUGCCCAGUAGCGGGGGAUAACUACUCGAAAGAGUGGCUAAUACCGCAUACGCCCUACGGGGGAAAGGGGGGGAUUCUUCGGAACCUCUCACUAUUGGAGCGGCCGAUAUCGGAUUAGCUAGUUGGUGGGGUAAAGGCUCACCAAGGCAACGAUCCGUAGCUGGUUUGAGAGGACGACCAGCCACACUGGGACUGAGACACGGCCCAGACUCCUACGGGAGGCAGCAGUGGGGAAUUUUGGACAAUGGGGGAAACCCUGAUCCAGCCAUCCCGCGUGUAUGAUGAAGGCCUUCGGGUUGUAAAGUACUUUUGGCAGAGAAGAAAAGGUAUCUCCUAAUACGAGAUACUGCUGACGGUAUCUGCAGAAUAAGCACCGGCUAACUACGUGCCAGCAGCCGCGGUAAUACGUAGGGUGCAAGCGUUAAUCGGAAUUACUGGGCGUAAAGCGUGUGUAGGCGGUUCGGAAAGAAAGAUGUGAAAUCCCAGGGCUCAACCUUGGAACUGCAUUUUUAACUGCCGAGCUAGAGUAUGUCAGAGGGGGGUAGAAUUCCACGUGUAGCAGUGAAAUGCGUAGAUAUGUGGAGGAAUACCGAUGGCGAAGGCAGCCCCCUGGGAUAAUACUGACGCUCAGACACGAAAGCGUGGGGAGCAAACAGGAUUAGAUACCCUGAUAGUCCACGCCCUAAACGAUGUCAACUAGCUGUUGGGGCCGUUAGGCCUUAGUAGCGCAGCUAACGCGUGAAGUUGACCGCCUGG
This 801-nucleotide ribosomal RNA is filed under the name uncultured bacterium. RNAcentral's name for it is "bacterial SSU rRNA". It matches the Rfam family "Bacterial small subunit ribosomal RNA", at positions 80 to 876 of the family's 1533-position model. The record is from RNAcentral.